This is a long non-coding RNA of Salvelinus namaycush (lake trout), 1141 nucleotides long. RefSeq lists it as uncharacterized. The transcript is spliced from 3 exons. The record is from RefSeq and is a predicted model, not a curated record. NCBI's taxonomy places the organism in Eukaryota, Metazoa, Chordata, Actinopteri, Salmoniformes, Salmonidae.
UCUCCAUGCGGGAGGGCGGUACACUCUGUAAACAGGAAUGACAAGCUAAAGUUAUCUAGUUAGUCACAGAAAUGUAAGUUCAGCCUGUUCAUUAUUUCAGUCCGAGUUGACAUGUCUUACGAAGUCAGCAUGGCUUAACAUAGUUCCUUUCGUUUGUGACCUCGACAUUGUUGCUGGAUAGAUACUUUCAUAGCUAACAUGCCUGCGCUGCUAGCUAGCUAAUGCUAACGGCGCUAGCUAACCUCAUAUCUGGAUGCCUCGCUCUAGUUCCCCAGAGAGCAGCAUACUGAUCUGCCAGCCCCAGCAGUUCAGCUGCAUUCACAGCAGUCCUCUGCUGUGGUAUUUCAUUUACCGGCUGCACCAGUUCCUACUACACUGGCCGUGAAGGGAGACACUUUGAGGAGACCCAGAUGGAUACAGAUGUGCCUGACAGCCUCACCCAGAAGACACUGGGCCUAUCCAGACUGACCAAGCAGAGAUGGGUGGCUGACAGCCUCACCCAGAAGACACUGGGCCUAUCCAGACUGACCAAGCAGAGAUGGGUGGCUGACAAGGGAAAAUAAAACACAACACACAUUAUCCACAAUGUAAAUACGUUGUAAUUAUUGUUUAUUUAAUGUUUUGCUGCAUUUUAUUUGAGGAUUGGAGAGAUCUACUCCUUCAUAUCCAUUCUCAAUAUCUACAUAAUUACUCUCCAUAUCUAUCAAAGGGUGAUUGAUAAUAUUGUAAAAGACUACGGCUUAUUGUUUACAGUUGAGGAAAUUAUGUGUGCUUUUUCUCUAAGUUGACAACGUGUUGGUUCCACUUUUCUGUCUCCGUUAUUUACUUAACAAAUAAGGAAUACUUAAAAUGUGAAUAUAUAAAAUUAAGAUAUUUUAAUUAGAAUACAGCCGUAGACAGAAGUCAAAGAUCAACAUACAACUGAUGUCUCUGAGUUGUGAACAAAAGAAAGACAGCAUCUUAUAUAGAUCACACCUUAUGGUGUCAAACCCUGCAUGUGCAGCUAAAAGAACAAGUUAUUCUCAACACAAGAAUGUGCAACAGUCACUCCUGCAGCAAAGCAGAGACUUGGCUGAUUUCUUUUGAUUUUCCCAUGAUGUCAAGCAAAGAAGCACUGCGUUUGAAGAUAGGCCUUGAAAUA